Molecule: ribosomal RNA, 878 nt
Filed under: uncultured bacterium
Lineage: Bacteria
Description: bacterial SSU rRNA
Rfam family: Bacterial small subunit ribosomal RNA
Source: RNAcentral
UAUUAGAGUUUGAUCAUGGCUCAGAUUGAACGCUGGCGGCAUGCCUUACACAUGCAAGUCGAACGGCAGCACGGGAGCAAUCCUGGUGGCGAGUGGCGAACGGGUGAGUAAUACAUCGGAACGUGUCCUGUAGUGGGGGAUAGCCCGGCGAAAGCCGGAUUAAUACCGCAUACGAUCUGCGGAUGAAAGCGGGGGAUCUUCGGACCUCGCGCUGCAGGGGCGGCCGAUGGCAGAUUAGCUAGUUGGUGGGGUAAAGGCCUACCAAGGCGACGAUCUGUAGCUGGUCUGAGAGGACGACCAGCCACACUGGGACUGAGACACGGCCCAGACUCCUACGGGAGGCAGCAGUGGGGAAUUUUGGACAAUGGGCGCAAGCCUGAUCCAGCAAUGCCGCGUGUGUGAAGAAGGCCUUCGGGUUGUAAAGCACUUUUGUCCGGAAAGAAAACGCCCGGGUUAAUACCCUGGGCGGAUGACGGUACCGGAAGAAUAAGCACCGGCUAACUACGUGCCAGCAGCCGCGGUAAUACGUAGGGUGCAAGCGUUAAUCGGAAUUACUGGGCGUAAAGCGUGCGCAGGCGGUCCGCUAAGACAGAUGUGAAAUCCCCGGGCUUAACCUGGGAACUGCAUUUGUGACUGGCGGGCUAGAGUAUGGCAGAGGGGGGUAGAAUUCCACGUGUAGCAGUGAAAUGCGUAGAGAUGUGGAGGAAUACCGAUGGCGAAGGCAGCCCCCUGGGCCAAUACUGACGCUCAUGCACGAAAGCGUGGGGAGCAAACAGGAUUAGAUACCCUGGUAGUCCACGCCCUAAACGAUGUCAACUAGUUGUUGGGGAUUCAUUUCCUUAGUAACGUAGCUAACGCGUGAAGUUGACCAAUCACUA